GCCAGGCGCAGUGGUGCAUGCCUGUAAUCCCAGCGACUCAGGAGGCCGAGGCAGGAGGAUCGCGAGUUCAAAGCCAGCCGUAGCAAAGUGUGGCGCUAAGCAACUCACUCAGUGAGACCCUGUCUCUA
This 128-nucleotide small RNA is filed under the name Marmota monax (woodchuck). The record is from RNAcentral. Lineage: Eukaryota; Metazoa; Chordata; Mammalia; Rodentia; Sciuridae.